Molecule: long non-coding RNA, 338 nt
Filed under: Ananas comosus (pineapple)
Lineage: Eukaryota; Viridiplantae; Streptophyta; Magnoliopsida; Poales; Bromeliaceae
Description: long non-coding RNA (ACOM_LNC023348)
Source: RNAcentral
AAAAGUGAAUAUAAAUAAAAAUAGUGUGAGAUACUAUUUUUAUUGGAUUUAGAAAAGUAAAAUAUAAGUCGGGAUCGACUCGUGCGGAAAUCGGAGUGAAAAUAAAAAAUUGAGAAUUUUCUGUGUGAGACGGGGCUGAUAUUUUAGCAGAAAAUGUACAGUGUCAGAAACUUUCGAAAAUCUAGAAAUAUGUUAGGAUUAUUUUUAUGAGGCUAGAUUUAAAGUUUCAUGUCGAUUCGACACCCGAAAGAUGGAAAAUAAAAUCCGACUGCUAUCUGCUAGAGAUUACAGUUCGAUAGAGCUUUCGGUGACCAAACAUGGUCGUAACAGAAAGAUUU